ACUGGGGUAGGGUGAGACUCCAAUGAUGUAAAGAGGGUGGCAAUCUUCCUGUUUACCAGCCAGCUCACCCCUGUGUGGUGCACAGUUCAGCUGGAAUUGCUGCUUACUCAUCUUCAAGUCUGCAUCGCUCUUCUCUUGUUUCCUGCAUUCCAGUCUGAUUCUGGCAAAGUUCGCUUCAAGGUCAAAGCUGUCAUUUACUGAAUUACUCAGCAGCUCCCAAAUGACUUUCGUCAGUCAUACUCCUUCCUGAGUGAUAGCGAUGAACCUUGACAUAAAAGAUGUGACUUUCUAAAGCCCUGUGCCGCUCAGGAGCCCCCCAAGAGCCCCUUCACCAUGACCACGGGACACAGGAGAGCUUAAAGACUGUGACACCCAGCAGAGGCUUUGGCCCAUCUGCAGAUGUGGCCAAAUUGUCUCUUGGAGAAAUACUGCUCUAGGGCCUUGCAGCUUUCAAGUUUACUUUGGAGAAUUCUCAUUCAAGCUCUUGGAUCUACUGGCUUGUGAGAUUUGAGGGAAACAAAGAUGAUGUAGUGGAGAUUUGCAGAGCUACCUAAAGCAACUUGAGCAAGUGUGUUAUUGUUGCAGAAAAAGGAAUGGCCAUGUUCUUGGGAAAUUUGAUUUGUUCAAUAACAAAUCAUCCCAGAAAAACGACAUGGCAUGCUCAAAAUGUCACAAGGCUAGUUGCAAAAUAUUCCAGUGUUGAAUCCUUUAUUCAAUAAUAUUGACUGUCACCUAGAGGUUACAGCCCAAAGGAGAAUAUCAAAUUAUGUGAGAUUUUUAUCUGCGGCACAUAUGUCAAGCUCAAAAGAAAAUCAUAUUAAAGCAAAACCAAAAGCGUCUGAGCGUCUUUCUGGAGCCUCAGAAAUGGCAGACUUCUCCUGAGAUUAAGGUUAGCGUUCCCUGGUGAUGUCCGUUAGCGUGAGGCCAGAGGCGACACCACAACCACUCCAUCCAAAGGCUUGCCCAGUCUUGGGUGAGAGGAGCAAUUUACAGCUUCCAGUGCCAGAAUAUAAGCUCCAUGAAGAUAGAGAUCGUAUCUGUCUAAAUCAUCACACGUCACGCUGUAUACAACAGAAUCUAGCAGCACUUCCAUAGGGAGGAGGAAAUGCGAGAGGCCAUUCCUGCCACGUUAUUCCCACUGCCUCUAACUUCAGUGACGUCUGACGGAGUGGGGUGGACCUUUAAAGACACAAUAGGACCAAGACCUGUAACUGGACGGGGAACAAGCUUGCACUGAAUCCCUAGCUCCAGCCAGAAGCUUCUUCCAUAGGAGGCGUCACUAGCGGUCCCUGUCACUGGGCUAAGUCUGUAAUUGGACUUUUUAUGUUCUUUCUCUCUAGUUAUACUCCAGCUUUUAAGAUGUAGGAUUCUGGCUUCUACCUCAUUCCGCUUUCUUUACCCUCACUUAA
Camelus dromedarius (Arabian camel) is the source of this 1409-nucleotide long non-coding RNA. RefSeq lists it as uncharacterized. The record is from RefSeq and is a predicted model, not a curated record. NCBI's taxonomy places the organism in Eukaryota, Metazoa, Chordata, Mammalia, Artiodactyla, Camelidae. The transcript has 3 exons.